CAGUCGCCACGGUAACACGUAGGUGGCAAGCGUUGUCCGGAAUUAUUGGGCGUAAAGGGCUCGCAGGCGGUUUCUUAAGUCUGAUGUGAAAGCCCCCGGCUCAACCGGGGAGGGUCAUUGGAAACUGGGAAACUUGAGUGCAGAAGAGGAGAGUGGGAUUCCACGUGUAGCGGUGAAAUGCGUAGAGAUGUGGAGGAACACCAGUGGCGAAGGCGACUCUCUGGUCUGUAACUGACGCUGAGGAGCGAAAGCGUGGGGAGCGAACAGGAUUAGAUACCCCUGUAGUCCCUGUCUCUUAUAC
This 301-nucleotide ribosomal RNA is filed under the name uncultured bacterium. RNAcentral's name for it is "partial 16S ribosomal RNA". It matches the Rfam family "Bacterial small subunit ribosomal RNA", at positions 509 to 807 of the family's 1533-position model. The record is from RNAcentral.